AUCAUGGAGAGUUUGAUCCUGGCUAAGAACGAACGCUGGCGGCGCGUCUUAAGCAUGCAAGUCGAACGGCAAGAUUGGUGCUUGCACCGAUCCUAGAGUGGCGGACUGGUGAGUAACGCGUGGGUGACGUACCCUAAGGAUGGGGAUAGCUGGUAGAAAUAUCAGA
RNAcentral lists this ribosomal RNA (166 nucleotides) under Treponema sp. RNAcentral describes it as "partial 16S ribosomal RNA". It matches the Rfam family "Bacterial small subunit ribosomal RNA", at positions 1 to 163 of the family's 1533-position model. Lineage: Bacteria; Pseudomonadati; Spirochaetota; Spirochaetia; Treponematales; Treponemataceae. The record is from RNAcentral.